UGCUUGCGUUCUGUCUGUUCCCUCUGUGGUCAUUUAACAGAAUGCAGACAGUUCCUGGGC
This is a microRNA precursor of Ictalurus punctatus (channel catfish), 60 nucleotides long. NCBI's taxonomy places the organism in Eukaryota, Metazoa, Chordata, Actinopteri, Siluriformes, Ictaluridae. The record is from Ensembl.